Molecule: long non-coding RNA, 953 nt
Organism: Pseudophryne corroboree (corroboree frog)
Lineage: Eukaryota; Metazoa; Chordata; Amphibia; Anura; Myobatrachidae
Exons: 3
Source: RefSeq, a predicted model, not a curated record
GCCUGCGGGACCCUGCCCGCCCUCUCCAGCGUACCGGAAAUGACGCUACGUUACGUCACUUCCCUCUAUCGUGCUCCCCAUCACCAUAGUGACAAAUAAACAAUAACAACCGGCAGCUAUAGAUAAAAAUGCACAUAGAUUAGCCAGCAGAAUAUCCUGCCAAUCUAAUGUAACACAGCAUGACUCAAUAUUACAAGUGGCACUGAUAGCAAAUACCAUAUUAAACUGCUCAGACAGCAGGUUAUCAUGUGGGUUAUAUUACAUGCCACAGUCCACGGCUCUUAAUGAGUGCCGUGUUUGAACGCAAUCAGAAACCACAGUGAUAAUACAUUAUGCAAUCAGAAACCAUAGUAAUAAUAGAUUAAUAAGAUUAAUGUCAAACAUAACAUGUUUAGGCCGAUGGUACAAUCAAAAAAUGUCAAUGAAGCCAAGCACACUAAGAUAUCGGACAGUCCAGCCCGGUAGGAAAUUAAAACCUGCGCAACAGCGAUUCCGCCCGGGAGGAAAUGGAGUCGCUUCUUUUCUGUGCAUAUAUUUUCCUGGACACCAAGACGUGAGGAUGAUGACGACGAGAAGAGAAAAAAAUAAUUGAAAACAGUGCAACGGAAUUAUUCGGCAAAGCGUAAUAAGAAGACCUAUUAGUAUUCCAGCUGGCGGAGAAGGUGCCUGUAAAGAUAAAUGUGUUUUCGUUUUCCUCCUAAAAAGGGAAAAUGUAUUUGCUACACUGAGACCUCAAUACAAUAGCUGCCUAAUGGAUAGAAAAUUACGUAGUCUGCCCCCCACUUAUUCCCCCUUAAUAACACCUUUGCACACCGGAAUAGGCCAGAAGGUGGUGCCGACUGCAUCAUCUUGAUAUCAUGGUAGACCUGUUAAAUGAUUUGGGAAAGUUUAGGUCCUGUCCCCUGCUGCCUUUUACAUUUGUGCCGAAUUAUAAAGGAUUUACAUUCACUUCA